UUGAAUGCCGAGGGGCGGUCUUCCCGAAUAAUGAAUGGGAUGUACCUGAGAUCCGAAAGGAGACCCUUGAACCUGAUCCAGGUAAUACUGGCGUAGGAACGGGCAGCACAUCCAAAA
Non-coding RNA from Hydrogenovibrio marinus, 117 nucleotides. The record is from Rfam. NCBI's taxonomy places the organism in Bacteria, Pseudomonadati, Pseudomonadota, Gammaproteobacteria, Thiotrichales, Piscirickettsiaceae.